UGGGGAAUAUUGCACAAUGGGCGCAAGCCUGAUGCAGCCAUGCCGCGUGUAUGAAGAAGGCCUUCGGGUUGUAAAGUACUUUCAGUCGGGAGGAAGGUGGUAAGGUUAAUAACCUUAUCAAUUGACGUUACCGACAGAAGAAGCACCGGCUAACUCCGUGCCAGCAGCCGCGGUAAUACGGAGGGUGCAAGCGUUAAUCGGAAUUACUGGGCGUAAAGCGCACGCAGGCGGUUGAUUGAGUCAGAUGUGAAAUCCCCGGGCUUAACCCGGGAAUUGCAUCUGAUACUGGUCAGCUAGAGGCUUGUAGAGGGGGGUAGAAUUCCAUGUGUAGCGGUGAAAUGCGUAGAGAUGUGGAGGAAGACCGGUGGCGAAGGCGGCCCCCUGGACAAAGACUGACGCUCAGGUGCGAAAGCGUGGGGAGCAAACAGG
This 429-nucleotide ribosomal RNA is filed under the name Chloroflexota bacterium. RNAcentral describes it as "Chloroflexi bacterium partial 16S ribosomal RNA". It matches the Rfam family "Bacterial small subunit ribosomal RNA", at positions 355 to 776 of the family's 1533-position model. The record is from RNAcentral. Lineage: Bacteria; Bacillati; Chloroflexota.